GCCGGAGUGGCGGAAUGGUAGACGCGACAGACUCAAAAUCUGUUUUCUGCGAGGGAGUGAGGGUUCGAGUCCCUUCUCCGGCA
This 83-nucleotide transfer RNA is filed under the name Firmicutes bacterium CAG:791. It matches the Rfam family "tRNA". Rfam says of the family: Transfer RNA (tRNA) molecules are approximately 80 nucleotides in length. Their secondary structure includes four short double-helical elements and three loops (D, anti-codon, and T loops). RNAcentral also lists the same sequence under 13 other names. The record is from Rfam by way of RNAcentral. Lineage: Bacteria; Bacillati; Bacillota.